Long non-coding RNA from Oreochromis aureus, 492 nucleotides. The record is from Ensembl. Lineage: Eukaryota; Metazoa; Chordata; Actinopteri; Cichliformes; Cichlidae.
GGGACUGAGCUUAAACCCUGCAGAUACUCAGUCUGCUCCAGGAUCCAGUCAGGACACGGCUGAUGCCGAUGAUGGUGUUUCCUACGUCUCCAUCAGCUUCACCAAGAAGUCCAAGAAUAAAUCCAGGUCCCGUGGUGAUGAUGAUGAAGGUGACACUGUGACCUACAGCACUGUGACCUACAGCACUGUGAAAGCUUCCUCUUCACCUGCUGGAGUUUCCACUGAUCCCAACAACCUCUACUCCACCAUCAAUUACCCAAGGAAAUAGGAUGUUAGUCAUGCUAAGUUUUUUAACUAGAUAGAUAGAUAGAUAGAUAGAUAGAUAGAUAGAUAGAUAGAUAGAUAGAUAGACAUUUUUCAGUUCACUUAUUAGUUUUGGUAACUCUGAGUCAAACAUUAAGUCUGAUUAUGUUUACUUGAGAAUACAAAGACUGCAGGAUUACUUUUUCAUACCACUGCAUGUGCUCAUAGAUUCAGUGGGUUACUUUGAAC